CGGGAUGUCAGAUAGACCUGAGUGUGAACCCCAGCUCUGCCACUUAAGUCUCUCUGGACCUCAGUUUCCCAUCAGUCAAAUGAUGCUUCUAGACUUUUCCAGUUUUACCAGGCCAGCGCUUGAGGAGAGCGGCUGUCAAACCAGGAGGGAGCUCCUGGCCGUGUCCCCCUCCCCUCCAUGGUGUCUGCAACCACAGGGCCGCAAGCCACACAUCAUGGCUCUCUCUCCAACCCAGCUUAUCCCCAGAGCCCCUCGAGACGUCACCUGGCUCCCACAUACCACUCAGAAAUAAAAAAUAAGUCUUUGGUCAUGGAAGAGUGAAGGCUGGUUGAGACUCCACUACAUAAAAUGCUGCUGUCCCUAAUCCUCUGCGGCUGGUACCCCAAGCACCUCGACACCGGUGAUAGGAGAAGGAAGUCAAACCCACAUACAGUCUCACAGGGGGUUUUGCUCUACGGGCAGAGUCUGGAGCCAGACAGCUUGGUUUUAAAUUCUGGCUCUGUGGCCUUCUAGCCAUGUGACCUGGGGCCUGACCUGAAGAGCAGCAUGGCCCUGGGGCCCUUGUCGGAGAAACUAUUCCCAAGUCUGAUGUAAACACAGACGUACGUGCAAGCCACAAGAGCAUGCUUCAGUGACUAGAUAAGGCAAUGUCUCAGUCCAUUUGGUCCGCUGUUACAGAAUACCAUAGACUGGGUGCUGAUAAACAACAGAAAUUGUUCUGGAGGCUGGAAAGUCCAAGAUGAAGCCUCCAGCACCUUCAGUGUCUGGAGUUGAGUUAUCCUUUAAUUACCUGGACUUGCUGGUUGGAGUUGUUGUGUUCACUGAAGCCCUGCUCAUGUUGGCUGUUGACCUCAAUGUGGCUCUUGACUAGAACCUACAUUAAGAAGGAAAAUUCUGUGGGUCAGAAUGUGUCACCGCAGGAGUGCCGGCCUAUAGCACCUGCUUUUGACCUGAUAGACCUCUGCAGACACCUUCCCUUCAACCUCUACCAGCCUAAGCCCCAUGCAAAGGUUCCAGAUGGUGCUCAAGGCAAGAAUGUUUCUCAAAACAGGGGACUGCAGGUGUGGGUAGAGCAAUCAGAGAGGCUUUGGGCAUAGCUACUGCCUCUAGAAAGGAGGGCAGGAGUGGAGUCAUCCUUUGGAGGAAAAAACCUCACUGUCAGGUCACACCUCAUGAAUUUAGGAAGAACUACCUUGAUUCUGAUCUUGCCUGUCACUUCUGUUCUUUAUGAUUCCAACGGUGUUGUGGUUCCUGACUCUCCCUGGGGAGGAGGCCCCUGUGUGCUUUUGGGGGGCGGGGGAGAGGAGGUCUGCAUCAAGACUCAGCUUAUAAUCCCAGCAAAGGGCCGAGGUAGACUUCUGGUGACCCAGACACUUGAGGUGAUGAGUGUGGUCCACAGGAGGUGUCCACGGGAGCAGCAUGCACAUGGUACCAACUUACGAAGUUGAAUGAGUUUAUCAAUGGACAGGCUAGGGAACUGUUAAACUCCCCUAAAAGAAGAGGGUGAGAACUCUUGAUUCUUUUUCCUUCAUACUUGGUUGUUUUUUUAUUAGAUUAUGAAUUUUUUUUUUAUGGAGAGAGUCUUCUGUUCUUAUUCCA
Long non-coding RNA from Nyctereutes procyonoides (raccoon dog), 1599 nucleotides. RefSeq lists it as uncharacterized. The transcript is spliced from 5 exons. The record is from RefSeq and is a predicted model, not a curated record. Lineage: Eukaryota; Metazoa; Chordata; Mammalia; Carnivora; Canidae.